This 10771-nucleotide long non-coding RNA is filed under the name Nilaparvata lugens (brown planthopper). RNAcentral's name for it is "uncharacterized LOC120351919". The record is from RNAcentral. Lineage: Eukaryota; Metazoa; Arthropoda; Insecta; Hemiptera; Delphacidae.
UAUAGGGUUGGUGAAAAAUAUGGAAACAGCUUAGGUAAUUUUUUGCUAUUGGUAUUUUUGCUCAUUUUCUCUUUCAAGUUCUGUUUCGAAAUCUUUUAUCACAUAACCACCCUCCCAUUCAAAAUAAAUUAAGUUGGACUCAUAUGACAGAUCCAAGAUGGCGAGCAAAAAUGUUGAAGCGACAGAAAAUUAGCUAUUUUUGAAUUUAAAUUGAAUCCUCCAUGAAACCUACUGUCAAAGUAUACUUUUAAUUGAAUUUCAAGCUGUUAUCCUUGGCUGUGGGUACAAUGCAUAUUGGCCUGGAGCUAGUAGCAGGAGAGCAAUGGGUCGUCUCCCGUUUCCAGCAGGAGGAGCGCCUAUGGGAAGGCGCGAAUCCUGAGUCCUGGUGAUGAUUGUUUAUGCGGCCCUGAAAAGUGAAAAGGGCCAGGGGGGGGUAGCGCUUGUGGCUUAGAGCCGGAGAUGGUGAGGAGGUAGAGGUGGUUCUGUCCCUCGGCUGUCCUUGGAUCCGGAGUUGGAGCCUCGGGAGGAAUAGCUGGGGAUGGGGGCGGCAGGUCCAGUUGCAGCAGCCUUCAGGGAACUGGCCGCGUCGUCCUCUUCUCGGGACUCCGGAUCAGGCUGAUUUGGGCGCCGCUGUAGAUGCGCUCAAAGUCGGCCUUCCAAUAGGCUAAGUUAGCCUCUUCCUCCGAUGCUAGCAGGUCCAGCCACGCUUCCCCGUUCAACUCCGGGUAGACGGUUGUAGGCCGUCAGAACGUCGCUAUUGGCUGGGGAGAGCCCACUAGCUACACCACUCACCAGCAAACCACGGUAGUUUCCCUCAGGUUCUACCACACGGUCUGCAGGCCUUUAGGUCUUUAGGCCUUGGGGUCCCUAGGCUAGGUACCCUUCCGUGAUUUACCGGGAGCGCCUCGCCAGGUACCACCUCACCGAGCCGUUGGAGGCGUUCUUUCAGCUUCCUUCCCCGUCGCCGGAGCCUCUGGGUGCCGCUGACUGGAGUGUAAGCUCCGGUUCCUCCCUGGCAUAUAGCAGAUUUGGGAAAUGAGAGGAAAAACACAAGUAUGGUUCAACUACUCGGCUUGGUCCUCAAUUUCCACCAGCUCACCACAAAGUAAGAGGGAACAAACACCGUUUAGGGUACCUCCGCUCUAAGGUCCAACUGGCUUGCCAGCAGGGGAAGAACUGAUUUGUCUCUACGCUACUGGUGGAACAUAUGAGGGUGAGUCAUUGCACCCUAACUCGGUAGUGUCUUGAGCUAUGGAGCUCUAUGACUGCUCAAAGUAAUGACAGUGCUGAAGUUGGGGGUUCCUGAUAUAUAAGAUCUUUAGUAGAACUUGGCAAUUUUAUCUUUAUUAUUUUUUUUUCAUUUUAUUCUCUGAUUUUUCUUUUUCUAAUUCAAUAAUUUCUGAUAUUAUAAUUCUAGUUAAUUUUCAUUUCAUUUUCAAAAUAUAUUUUUAAAAGUGAAAAUAUGUAUAUAUAUAUAUAUAUAUAUAUGUAUCUUUUUUUGUCAAGUCUACUUUUUUGGGAGAAGUGGUAAUGGAGAAGGUUUCUCUUCUAGGGAAUUUAGUACUGUGAACAGUGGCUGACUGACAAUCAGCUGCUGGCACCUUCAUGGCCCAACUGCUAACUGUCAAUCAGGCCACCAUUGUUGAAAUGGGAGUGGCUUGUGGGUCUGAGCUGGUUUUGGUACUUCGUACAUCUGCCUUAUUGAUGUACGCCACGAGAUAGAAGCUGUAUCAUGAAGCUUUCGAGAUGUGAGCUGAAUGAAGUUGAGUAAUUGAGGGGUACUGGCAUAUUCAUAGAGUAACCUGUUAUUCACAAUGUAGUGAAAGUUGCAGAUGGUUCUGAUGAGUCUGUUUUGAAGGCCAAAUAGACGUUUUCUAUUGGUCUUCGAUAGAUAUGGGAACCAGACUGGGGCGGCAUAGGUCAGGUAUGCCCUGAUGAUGGCUGUGAAUAUGAGCAGCCGAAAUUUAAGGGGGAGUGAAGGGGUGACAAGAAGGGGGAAUAGUUGUACAAACAGCACACGACAGUGUUGAAUUUUCACUUUAAUGUGUUGUUUGAAAGUGAGUGUUCUGUCCAGAGUUACACCUAGGUACGUGACGGUAUGGGACCAUGGGAGGGCGUGACCAUGGAUUUUGAGAGUGGGAGGAAGUUAAAGUUUUCGGGAAAAGGCGACAGCCAUACAUUUAGUUGGAUUAAUCUCUACCUUCCAGGAUGAACACCAGGAUGUAAGCAGGUUUAACUGCUCUUGAAAAUUCCUGGCCGCCCUAUUCAGAUUCAUGCUGCUCCAGUGGAAUGUGGUGUCAUCAGCAAAUAGACUUGUUUGAACUGAAGGUAGAGAUGGCAUGUUGUUGAUGAAGAAGGAGUAGAGGAUAGGUCCAAGCACAGAUCCUUGGGGGACACCUGCUGUUGCUGGGGUGAGAGCUGAAGAGUUUACUGAAGAUGGGGUGCGGGUGUGAACUUCAAAAUACCUGUUAGUAAGGUUUGACUUGAAGAGUCUUAUUGUUGAAGGUGGAAAGACAGAUGAAAGUUUAUAGAGUAGUCCAUCCAGCCACACAGUGUCGAAGGCUGCUUUGAAGUCUAUAAAGACUGCAACCACGUGCUCUUUCUUGUUGAAAGAAUCUGAUAACUGAGAGCAGAAUUUCAUUAGUUGCAGUGUUGUUGAACAACCUGCACGAAAUCCAAACUGUUCUGGCCUUAUCACACUAUCUAGUGUAUCUCGUAUAUGUUUCUCCAGAAACAUUUUCUCAAAAAGCUUUGAGAAAAAGCAGGGUAUGGAGAUUGGCCUGUAGCUGGAUGGUAGGGUGGAGCGUUUUCCUGGCUUUAGGAGCAGGAAUAAUUUGCUCUUUUUCCAUUCUGAGGGGAAGUGUUGGGUGUUCAGAAUGGAAUUGAAAAUUACAAGCAGGUGUUGGGCUAGCUCUGGAGGUGCAUUUAAGAUGGCCUUCCCAGAAAUACCAUCAAGACCUGGGGCCUUUUUUGGAUUGGUAUUUUUAAGUGCAUUUGUUAUAUCUCCCAUUGUAAAAGGUGAAAGAUUAUUUGGGGUGGGGUCUUGCACUGUUACUAAAACACUGUCGACUAUUUGUCUAAAGUGGGUGUCGAGCUCUUGACUGAGGGACGGGUGGAUUUGAGAAGUGAAGUUCUAGAUGUGAGGCAAACUUAUCCACUUUCUCUUGGUCUGAGAAGAUUAGCCCAUUUGGGCCCUCAAGUGGAGAGUUUGGAGGUUGUUUCCUGAGAAGUUUUCGGGUAGCUUGCCAGGCUGAGUUGGGUGGCAAAGAGGUGAGAUACUCUUCCCAAGAUUGGAGGCGAUGUAGUCUAAGUAGUUGAGAGCAUUUGUUUGAUGCUCUAUUGAAUGCAUAUUUGUCAGCAGGAGCUCGUGUUAUCUGCCAACGUUUGCGAGUGCUGCGGCGCUCACUGAUAGCCACUUGAAUUUCAGUGGGAAGUAAUGAGCGUCGUUGGGGUGGGGCUAAGGAAGUGUUAUCAGCUGGUGCUGUUUUUAUUACUUCCGUGAUAUUUGCUGUAUGAGCUUCCAAGUCGACAGUGUUCGAAUGUGUGCUUGGUAGGAUUGGAAUAGAAUUUGACACACUUUCAUGAUACUUCCUCCACUUCACUGUAAGGCGAUGUGGAGGUGGUCUUGCAAUGUAGUCGGGAUUCACAAGAGUGAACAACACUGGCAGGUGAUCUGAAGACAGGUCCUCGACCACCUCAACCAGGGAGGUCUUUGUAAGUCCCACUGACAAUGCAUAAUCCAAUAUGUCAGAUUUGUCUCACUGGAGGAGCCCGCUUAUAUAGCAGGGUAGUCCCUUCCAGUGAGCGAGAGUUAGCUACCAGUGUAGGUGUUGCGCGCUGGAGAUGCGCGCCAGCAGGGACCCUUAGCCGCCUAGGCUUGGGUGGCGCGAUCUAGUGGUUUCGAGCUGAAGCGAGGGUAUCAAAGCUCUUUCCAUCAUUUUCACCAACUCUGUAUAAUCACAAGUUGCGGAUUCUAAAGAUCAUGAGCUACAGUUCAUGAGCGAGUUUUCCAACCCAGAGGGUCCCUAGUUAUAAAAUAUUAUGUAGCAUAAAAUAAAUAAUCCACAUGACAACUUGACUCUUCAUCAUUGAUGAUUGAUAUUCACUAUGGAAGAGGCGACUGGAGCAUGUGUUUAGAAUGAAAAUACAAAACCUAAUAAGAACCCUGUGAGAACCUAGUAACGGGUGUUUUUUUUAGAGGUAUAGAACUUUAAAUUGCAAUAAAACAACAAUGGAUUAUUCGAUUGACAUAUUUUUUAUGGAAAGAUAAUCUUGUGACAAUACAUUGGCUUAUCCGCAUAGACCAAUGACUUUACAUAGCCCCACAGAAAUUUUUCUAGCGGUGUUAAACCACAAGAUCUUGGAGGCCAAUUCACAAGUCCAAAACGUGAAACUAGACGGUCACCAAACGAGUGUCGUUCAAUAAAACUGAUUGUGGCACGAGCUGUGUGACAUGUUGCGCCGUCUUGUUGGAACCACAGCACCUGGACAACAUGAUUGUUCAAUUCAGGAAUGAAAAAGUGAGUGAUGCUCCAUAAAGUGGAUGGACACAUAUCGAUGGCGGAUGGACUCAUUCGGGUCUUCCGCAAUGCUACACACUACAGUAGCAAUAGCUUCUACUGUACGCACCGUACGAUGACUCUGUGGAUGUGAGUUAUCAAUAAGAGUUAACGUCAUGCGAAAACGUGAUUUGAUUUUGAUUUAUUUCUUCUUUUUUACAAAAUACAAUAUAUACAAUAUUAAAUGUGAAGAAGGCUCCUCAUAUGGGCAAAUGCCUGUGAGUGAGGAGCGAGUUCCAAAUACAAUUGAGUAUUCUAUACUUAUAAGAAUGAAGACAAAUCAUAAAAAGUAAAGAUUUCAGCUUUUAGAAUUAUUGAUAAUGAACAAGCGACAAAAUACCUAUAAUCCAAUACCUAUUCUAAAAUACCUAUAAGUAAUAUAAUUCAGUAUGUUUUCCAGUAGGCACACUUUUCAGGCAUCGACAUAGAUGGAUGCCGACAUGCACUCCGAAACACACUAGCACACACACAAACUUAAACGACUCAUAAUCUAUUGACAUAGAAAUAAUGAACUGAGCAGAUUAUUAACCAUAGAGCAGAUUAUUUCGCACUGUAUAAUUUGCUCAGAGACUAUGUUCUUCCUAUUAAUAAAUGAGUUACCACUUCAGAUACCCAACUCCAAGUGCUUGAUAUUCGCUUAUUCGCUGACGAUAUGAAGAUCUACAAAGAGGUGAGAGGAUUGGAUGAUUGCUAUUCCUUGCAGGCUGAUGUUGACAGAGUUGCAUUGUGGUGCCACGUGAAUAAGCUUGAUAUCAAUUUAAAAAAAUGUAAAUGUAUGACUUUCUCCAGAAAGGUUAAUCCAGCUCGUUAUUCCUACUCAAUCAAUGGUGUGUGCUUGGAGAGGGUAACAAUGUGUAAGGAUCUUGGUAUUGCAUUCAGUUGUACAUUGUCCUUUUCAGCACAUGUUGAUCACAUCAUUGGCAGAGCGAAUAAGCUAUUGGGCUUUGUUCUGAGAAACUCUACUGGCUUCAAUAACGUUGAGACUGUUGUAACUCUGUAUCAAUCGCUAGUCAGAAGUGUCCUUGAGUACGGAUCUAUUGUCUGGAGUCCCUCUACUCAUCAGGAUACAUUAAGAGUCCAACCAGUACAGAAUAAGCUUCUUUGCUUCCUAUUUUAUAUGCAAUUUAGAAGAGCCUGUCCCUUGGGUUUCCCUUCUGGACGUUUGAGAUCCCUUUUCAAUAUGGACUCUUUGAGGGCUAGACGUGACAGGUUUCCAUUGAUGUUUGUGGUAUCACUUUUGAAAAAUUACAUUAAUUCACCCGCUCUCCUCUCUAGGAUUGGUUUCCAGGUACCCACGUUCAAUGUCAGAAGAGUUAGGACCUUUCAUGUACCAAGAUCAAGGACCCUUCAUAACUUCUGCUCUCCAUUUAAUAGAGUUCUGAGGCUAUUCAAUAGCGUUUGUGAAGGUGUUGAUGUGCAUGGCCCAGUUAGUGAGGUUAGAAGGCGCAUUAUUAAGGCUAUUCAUAAUUGAAUUUGAAUUCAGUUUCUGAAUUGAUUCAAUUAAUAUGAUGUCCGUGAUUCUUAUUAGUUUUAUAGAGUUGAUCAAACCUACAGUUUAAAUCCCUUAACUUUUAUACUUGAAUAUUUGUUGUUGUUAAAACUUUUUCUUUUUUCUUCUCUGCUUUCAUCAAUUUUCUUCCCACAGUGGCACAUGUUUUCCCUUAACCUGUUUCUAUGCUCAAUUGUAGGCCUAUUCUUUUUAUAACUUAUUGGAUAAGUUUUAGAUAAGUUUGGAUAAGUUAGAUUAGUUUUUAUUCUGUAUUUAUUAUUAUUUAUGCUUAGAUUACUUACAAUUACUUAUGCUUUCCUCAUACUUAUCAACUUUCUUAUGUAUUUGUGAAUUGCAUGUACUGUAUCUCUUAUUUUUAUUUCUUUUAGUAACUUACUUUAUUCGAUUGUAAAUGGUAGUGAAGACUGUUUUGGGCUUAAUGCCUGUAGUCUGUAAUAGUUAUUCUGUAAUAAAUAAUAAUAACAUAAUCUUCCAGUUCAUUACAACUGAUGCUAGAGAUAACAUAAAAUCCACUCAUCAACAUUUUUUUUUAAAUGACCAAUUCUUUUAUUUACUGGGUUUUUUAUAGUUUCAGGUAAUUUGGAAAAAGUAUAUUGAUUUUAUAAUGAGACGAUGUGGAAGUGAUUGUCUUUAUUAAACGAGGAACAACGGUACCGGGGGGUUUGAUAGCUUUAUUGUCCUGUCACCAGCUGGCUCAGAUCUUUGAAAUUUGAAUAGUAGUAGACUUGAGAUGCGCGGGAACACUAGCGUCAGGUGAUCAAUUUUCAUAACGGCAAGGAAAGUUGUGUGAGUGCGCCACACCAGAUUUUUCAAGUAAGUGUAAUAUUUCUAAAGGUUUUUAUUCACUGUGAUUCAUUUGAAGAAGUAUUAUGUCAACCUUCAAAAUUCAAAAUCUUUAAAUAUCAAGUACCUGGAUCAAAAAUCAAGUGAAGAAGCAGUGUGUGAUAUCAUAACCUCAAACUUUGGACAACAUUAACUUUUUAUCAAAAUUUUUGGAGAGAAAUAUUACAGGCUCAGCCUAUUUUUUCCUCCAAUGUCAUAAUUAUAUUAUGAUUGUAGUAUUUUGCACAAUAAAAAAAAGAAAUAAAUAUUUGUAUACUUCCAUCUAAUAUACUGAAAUUGACUCUUCAACCAUUGAAUACAAGAAAAAUCCACAAUAAAUCUAUACUCAAUAACAAAUUGGCUUUUAUAUACUUCGCUCCUAUAAUUUACUAUUUAAAUUGUGAUCUAUUUGACGAAUCAAAUUCCGAUGAUUAUCCAAUAGAGUGCAAAUCAGUAGAUGCUCAUUGCCAAUACUAGCAUUAUCAGAGCCAGCACUGAAUUGUUCGUGCAAGGGCAUGAACAUUUUUUUCAUGACGUCACUGAACAUGUUCGGCCAAACAAUGUUCACCAAUGCUCUCCAGAUGUGAACGCACCUUAAGCCAUAAAUUUAAAAAAUAGAAUAAAAGCAUGUGAUAGUUAUUACAAUCAUUCUUACUUCAAUGCCUAACUCUUUACUCUGUAUUCAUAAUUAUUAUUGCAAAAAUGAACCCGUGAGUUACUGAACUCUAUCAUCAUUAUCGUACUCAAGUUGAUUGGUAAAGUUUAUGUCAAGCUAGAGUACUUCGUACAAAAGAAAAAUCUUCAUAUUUUAACACUAUACAAUUAUUGUGUUUCUCGUCGAAUAAUAUUUUAGGCCUAGUUAAAUUAAAGGAUAUGAUAUAAUUGAUUGAAGAUGAAUCAAUUUUGGUUGUAUUGUAAUGCUUAGUUCUUUUUGUUUCAGGUUUUUGAUGAAAACUGGGUAUGACUCUUGGUUUCUGAAUUGGUUUCAAGAUAGGUUGCUGAAACGUUUAUUGAACGUACUAUUGAACACUUGAAUAAAGUUGAGCAUUGAAACCUUUAAUCACUUGAGAAGUUGGCCAACCAAGUUUUCAGUACUUAAUUAUAUUCAAUGGUUCAUUGAGUUUGAUAAAGAUUCCAGCAACUGAGUAUUAUAAAAUUUUGUUAGGCCUGUAUUCAGUGCUGUUUUUGAAACAAUAAUAGGUUUCGGUAAUGUUCCUGGGGAUCUGGAGAGUAUUCGGAAGGAGGACCUCCCCGGAACACUUUUCAAAUUUAGCCUCAAAAAGGAUAUUUUAAAUCUAUUUCGAAGCUAAUUUUUUUUUGAAAAAUAUGUUUUUCCCAAGAGCGUACGGCGCGGUACGGCGUACCAGCGCGUACUGUCUCAAAAAUAGCACUGCCUAUUUUUAUAUUCCUAGGAUUGUAUUACAUUGGAGCAAAUUGAUGGAUGACAGCAUGACAGUGUCCGGAUGUCUGAUAAUCUGCAACUGGAUAAUCGAUUUUAUAGUCUGUAUAAAAUGAGUUGAGACUUGGCCCUCCAUCCAAAGAGGUUACAGCGUUGCCAAACUGUGUAAAAUUGCAAAUUACUCCAUUUUGUUUUAAUCAUAGAAUUGAUUGUGGAAUGUAAUCCCCGAUAUUCCAGCAGUGCUGGAAAAGUUUCAAGAUUAGAUGAUUAAAAGAAAUUUUUUUGAUAAAAUUGAAAACAUUGUGAAAAUUUGUUUUCUUUUGGAUAUCUUUUCUCUCAGAGUUAUGGGGCGUCAUAAUAAGUGAAACAUUUAUAUCAAAAUAAUGGGAAAAAUGUCUUCUUCCUAUUGGUAUCUGAAUUAUUCUCAUCCGAUCUAUAGUUAUUGUUUAAUUGAUUAUUAUCAUUGUCAAUUUCGAGAUAUUUUGAGCAGAAAACAUUAAACUUUUGACAUGCCAGGACCUUUUUUGUUUCCUAAGAUAAGUAGGUGGAGAAGGCGAGAAAGUUUCUCCGAAAUAAUUGAAGUUAUUUUUACAAUUGUCAAAAGAAGGAGAAGGGACGUAUUUUGGACUCUAAGGAGAUGCAAAGUCAAGCGGAGCGGCUUAUGUGAGAUGGCACAACAGGCUUAUGCCCAAAACUGUUCCUUUCUAGAAUGUAUACUACAGUCCAAAUCAAAGUGCAGGUUAAGCUACUAUCACUUAUUAAAAUAACUUUACACUUGAAAAAUUUAAACAAUUUACUAUCAAAUAACAAACAAAUCUUCAAUGAAGAAUUUAUAUCAUAAAUAACUGAAUCUCACAUAAUUAGAAACAAUUAUCCAAAAAAUCUAAGUUUUUAAUAAAACUGGAAAAUCUCGAACCGAAAACUGUGUUAUGCCAUCAAUAUUAAUAUCUAUCUACUUUGAUCAAUAGCUAGGAUCAACAAAAACACGAGACAGAACGCUUGAAAAAUUCAGCGACUGCAAGCCACAUUAUUAUAUUAAUUGAAAAUCACAACCUUGCCUCGAAUAAUUCAAACAUUGUUACAUGACAACAUUUCUCAUUGCAGUUAACUGCUUGCAGUUGGAAUAUUUCAGUCAAAAAUAUAAUUAUUUUAAAUUGCUAGCGUAUUACUGGCUAUUUAUUUAGCGUACAAUUUAGUACACAAUGCAUACAUACCAUGCAGCCGCUGUCCUAAGUUUAAAAUCCUUUGAUAUCAAAAUACGAAAUACGAUCUUCCAACAACUUUUGACAAUUGGAAAAAUAAGUUUAAUUAAUUCUGUGAAACUUUCUCGCUUUCACCACCCACUUAUCUUUUCAAGCAAAAAAGUUUCUAAAGGUGCGUUUACAUCAAAGUUAUAAACAAAAUGCUUAUUUAUAGAAUAAGGAUAGAAUAAUAAGCUUUUUUAGAUUCUAUAAGAUUCAACAUAACUUAUCAUACACAUGCUGCGUGUAAACGCAGCUUUACAGGUCGAAAAUUUCAUGUUUUCUCCCCAAAAUGUUUCAAAUUUGAAUAAAAUAGAUGAAUUUUAAGGUGAAAUAAAAGCGAUAUUGUCAGUUGCACAUAGUUCCACAAUUAUGGAGAACUGACAAUAUUGCUUUUAUUUCACCUUAAUAUGGAGAAAUUCCAUACAGUAAAUAGAUAAGGCUUAUGGUUAAAGUGUGUCCGUUCAAAUUUUCACUGUAUAAGUCUACAUUAGUUCAGUAUUCAUUUUGGUAGCUAGGUAUUUUAUUACUCAUUGAAUUUGAAUAUAAAAGUUCUAAAAAUGUUUAAAAAAUUAUCUUCCAUCUUAUAUCUUAUUUCUUUUUAUUGAUUUUAUCAUGUAAUUCUAUCCUUUUCAUCUAUUCGUAUUCUAUCAAUUCAUCAUUCAUUAUAUUCUUAAAUGUGAUUGACUAUGAAUUGCUGAACUUUGUAGUCAGUGGCGCUGACUCUGGAUGGGCAAGAUAAUCCGCAUGCAUUUUCACUCCUAAGUUCUCAGUUUCAAAGAAACUAAAAUCAAAAUGGCAAAGUUAUACAUUUUUCGAAUUGCAUUAUUACAAUAACUUUGUAUUAAACAUCUUAAAUAAUAAUUCUGCUUAUAUUCAGUAUUAUUCUGUUUAUUUCUUUUUUUUAAUCUAAAAAAUAUCGUGAAGAAUCGUUUAAUUUUAUUAACCGGUCACGAGUAGGGCACACUAGGCCUUGAAUCCUCUCCCCCCUCCACCAUCAAUAAUUUUUGAAAGUCGGCGCCACUGCUUUCAGUACUGUAGUUCUUCCAUUGGACGCUUAGGCCUACUUCUAGAACUGCUUGUUCAAAUUAUAAAUAUAUUCAUACCAAUAAUACAAGUUGUUCACUUGACAGUUAUUGUGGAUAUUGACAAUUCAGUUGUCUUUCGUGUGAGAUGUUUUUCUUUUACAGCUACACCAAUUUGAUGUCUAGUCAUUUGCAUUAAAUGAUUGAACUGAAAA